Molecule: ribosomal RNA, 496 nt
Filed under: uncultured bacterium
Lineage: Bacteria
Description: partial 16S ribosomal RNA
Rfam family: Bacterial small subunit ribosomal RNA
Source: RNAcentral
GAUGAACGCUGGCGGCGUGCCUAAUACAUGCAAGUCGAGCGAACAGACGAGGAGCUUGCUCCUCUGACGUUAGCGGCGGACGGGUGAGUAACACGUGGAUAACCUACCUAUAAGACUGGGAUAACUUCGGGAAACCGGAGCUAAUACCGGAUAAUAUAUUGAACCGCAUGGUUCAAUAGUGAAAGACGGUUUUGCUGUCACUUAUAGAUGGAUCCGCGCCGCAUUAGCUAGUUGGUAAGGUAACGGCUUACCAAGGCAACGAUGCGUAGCCGACCUGAGAGGGUGAUCGGCCCCACUGGAACUGAGACACGGUCCAGACUCCUGCGGGAGGCAGCAGUGGGAAAUCUUCCGCAAUGGGCGAAAGCCUGACGGAGCAACGCCGCGUGAGUGAUGAAGGUCUUCGGAUCGUAAAACUCUGUUAUUAGGAAAGAACAAAUGUGUAAGUAACUAUGCACGUCUUGCCGGUACCUAAUCAGAAAGCCACGGCUAACUACGU